AUGCACUUUGAGAGGGCCUGG
Molecule: non-coding RNA, 21 nt
Filed under: Rattus norvegicus (Norway rat)
Lineage: Eukaryota; Metazoa; Chordata; Mammalia; Rodentia; Muridae
Source: RNAcentral